RNAcentral lists this ribosomal RNA (430 nucleotides) under Pseudomonadota bacterium. RNAcentral describes it as "Proteobacteria bacterium partial 16S ribosomal RNA". It matches the Rfam family "Bacterial small subunit ribosomal RNA", at positions 355 to 776 of the family's 1533-position model. Lineage: Bacteria; Pseudomonadati; Pseudomonadota. The record is from RNAcentral.
UGGGGAAUAUUGGACAAUGGGCGAAAGCCUGAUCCAGCCAUGCCGCGUGUGUGAAGAAGGCCUUUUGGUUGUAAAGCACUUUAAGCGAGGAGGAGGCUACUAGUACUAAUACUACUGGAUAGUGGACGUUACUCGCAGAAUAAGCACCGGCUAACUCUGUGCCAGCAGCCGCGGUAAUACAGAGGGUGCGAGCGUUAAUCGGAUUUACUGGGCGUAAAGCGUGCGUAGGCGGCUGAUUAAGUCGGAUGUGAAAUCCCUGAGCUUAACUUAGGAAUUGCAUUCGAUACUGGUCAGCUAGAGUAUGGGAGAGGAUGGUAGAGUUCCAGGUGUAGCGGUGAAAUGCAUAGAGAUCUAGAGGAAUACCGAUGGCGAAGGCAGCCAUCUGGCCUAAUACUGACGCUGAGGUACGAAAGCAUGGGGAGCAAACAGG